This 681-nucleotide ribosomal RNA is filed under the name uncultured Lactobacillus sp. RNAcentral describes it as "bacterial SSU rRNA". It matches the Rfam family "Bacterial small subunit ribosomal RNA", at positions 9 to 650 of the family's 1533-position model. The record is from RNAcentral. Lineage: Bacteria; Bacillati; Bacillota; Bacilli; Lactobacillales; Lactobacillaceae.
GAGUUUGAUCCUGGCUCAGGACGAACGCUGGCGGCGUGCCUAAUACAUGCAAGUCGAGCGAGCUUGCCUAGAUGAAUUUGGUGCUUGCACCAAAUGAAACUAGAUACAAGCGAGCGGCGGACGGGUGAGUAACACGUGGGUAACCUGCCCAAGAGACUGGGAUAACACCUGGAAACAGAUGCUAAUACCGGAUAACAACACUAGACGCAUGUCUAGAGUUUAAAAGAUGGUUCUGCUAUCACUCUUGGAUGGACCUGCGGUGCAUUAGCUAGUUGGUAAGGUAACGGCUUACCAAGGCAAUGAUGCAUAGCCGAGUUGAGAGACUGAUCGGCCACAUUGGGACUGAGACACGGCCCAAACUCCUACGGGAGGCAGCAGUAGGGAAUCUUCCACAAUGGACGCAAGUCUGAUGGAGCAACGCCGCGUGAGUGAAGAAGGGUUUCGGCUCGUAAAGCUCUGUUGGUAGUGAAGAAAGAUAGAGGUAGUAACUGGCCUUUAUUUGACGGUAAUUACUUAGAAAGUCACGGCUAACUACGUGCCAGCAGCCGCGGUAAUACGUAGGUGGCAAGCGUUGUCCGGAUUUAUUGGGCGUAAAGCGAGUGCAGGCGGUUCAAUAAGUCUGAUGUGAAAGCCUUCGGCUCAACCGGAGAAUUGCAUCAGAAACUGUUGAACUUGAGUGCA